Molecule: ribosomal RNA, 406 nt
Filed under: uncultured bacterium
Lineage: Bacteria
Description: partial 16S ribosomal RNA
Rfam family: Bacterial small subunit ribosomal RNA
Source: RNAcentral
AUUGAACGCUGGCGGCAGGCCUAACACAUGCAAGUCGAACGAGUGGCGGACGGGUGAGUAAUGUCUAGGCAACUGCCCGAUGGAGGGGGAUAGCUACUGGAAACGGUAGAUAAUACCGCAUACCAUCGGAUGUGCCCAGAUGGGAGUAGCUAGUAGGUGGGGUAACGGCUAUCCUAGGCGACGAUCCCUAGCUGGUCUGAGAGGAUGACCAGCCCACUGGGACUUGAGACACGGUCCAGACUCCUAGGGGAGGCAGAAGUGGGGAAUAUUGGACAAGGGGCGAAAGCCUGAUGCAGCCAUGCCGGGGGUAUGAAGAAGGCCUUCGGUUUUUAAAGUACUUUCAGCGAGGAGGCGUUACUCGCAGAAGAAGCAACGGCUAACUCCGUGCCAGCAGCCGCGGUAAUUC